GUUGAUUCUGCCGGACCCGACUGCUAUCAGAGUGGGACUAAGCCAUGCGAGUCAACAUAGCAAUAUGUGGCAUACGGCUCAGUAACACGUAGUCAACAUGCCCAGGGGACGUGGAUAACCUCGGGAAACUGAGGAUAAACCGCGAUAAGUCACUACUUCUGGAAUGGGUAAUGACUUAAAUCUAUAUGGCCCCUGGAUUGGACUGCGGCCGAUCAGGCUGUUGGUGAGGUAAUGGCCCACCAAACCUGUAACCGGUACGGGCUCUGAGAGGAGGAGCCCGGAGAUGGGCACUGAGACAAGGGCCCAGGCCCUAUGGGGCGCAGCAGGCGCGAAACCUCUGCAAUAGGCGAAAGCCUGACAGGGUUACUCUGAGUGAUUUCCGUUAAGGAGAUCUUUUGGCACCUCUAAAAAUGGUGCAGAAUAAGGGGUGGGCAAGUCUGGUGUCAGCCGCCGCGGUAAUACCAGCACCCCGAGUGGUCGGGACGUUUAUUGGGCCUAAAGCAUCCGUAGCCGGUUCUGCAAGUCUUCCGUUAAAUCCACCUGCUUAACAGAUGGGCCGCGGAAGAUACUAUAGAGCUAGGAGGCGGGAGAGGCAAGCGGUACUCGAUGGGUAGGGGUAAAAUCCGUUGAUCCAUUGAAGACCACCAGUGGCGAAGGCGGCUUGCCAGAACGCGCUCGACGGUGAGGGAUGAAAGCUGGGGGAGCAAACCGGAUUAGAUACCCGGGUAGUCCCAGCUGUAAACGAUGCAGACUCGGUGAUGAAUUGGCUUUAUGCCUAUUCAGUGCCGCAGGGAAGCCGUUAAGUUUGCCGCCUGGGGAGUACGGUCGCAAGACUGAAACUUAAAGGAAUUGGCGGGGGAGCACCACAAGGGGUGAAGCCUGCGGUUCAAUUGGAGUCAACGCCGGG
RNAcentral lists this ribosomal RNA (907 nucleotides) under uncultured archaeon. RNAcentral's name for it is "bacterial SSU rRNA". It matches the Rfam family "Archaeal small subunit ribosomal RNA", at positions 7 to 922 of the family's 1478-position model. The record is from RNAcentral.